Molecule: transfer RNA, 73 nt
Filed under: Fusarium proliferatum
Lineage: Eukaryota; Fungi; Ascomycota; Sordariomycetes; Hypocreales; Nectriaceae
Rfam family: tRNA
About the family: Transfer RNA (tRNA) molecules are approximately 80 nucleotides in length.
Source: RNAcentral
GGCCCCGUGGCCUAAUGGCUAAGGCGUCUGACUUCUAAUCAGAAGAUUGCGAGUUCGAUCCUCGCCGGGGCCU